GUCUAUGGCCAUACCACCCUGAAUGCACCAGAUCUCGUCUGUUCUCGGAAGCUAAGCAGUGUUGGGCAUGGGUAGUAGCAGAGAGGGAGAUACUGAGAGAGGCUAUGCAUGUGCAGGGA
RNAcentral lists this ribosomal RNA (119 nucleotides) under Carlito syrichta (Philippine tarsier). The record is from RNAcentral. Lineage: Eukaryota; Metazoa; Chordata; Mammalia; Primates; Tarsiidae.